RNAcentral lists this ribosomal RNA (437 nucleotides) under uncultured Pseudomonas sp. Its description in RNAcentral is "bacterial SSU rRNA". It matches the Rfam family "Bacterial small subunit ribosomal RNA", at positions 948 to 1382 of the family's 1533-position model. Lineage: Bacteria; Pseudomonadati; Pseudomonadota; Gammaproteobacteria; Pseudomonadales; Pseudomonadaceae. The record is from RNAcentral.
AAUUCGAAGCAACGCGAAGAACUUACCAGGCCUUGACAUGCAGAGAACUUUCCAGAGAUGGAUUGGUGCCUUCGGGAACUCUGACACAGGUGCUGCAUGGCUGUCGUCAGCCCGUGUCGUGAGAUGUUGGGUUAAGUCCCGUAACGAGCGCAACCCUUGUCCUUAGUUACCAGCACGCUAUGGUGGGCACUCUAAGGAGACUGCCGGUGACGAAACCGGAGGAAGGUGGGGAUGACGUCAAGUCAUCAUGGCCCUUACGGCCUGGGCUACACACGUGCUACAAUGGUCGGUACAAAGGGUUGCCAAGCCGCGAGGUGGAGCUAAAUCCCAUAAAACCGAUCGUAGUCCGGAUCGCAGUCUGCAACUCGACUGCGUGAAGUCGGAAUCGCUAGUAAUCGUGAAAUCAGAAUGUCACGGUGAAUACGUUCCCGGGCCUU